GGCCUCCCGCCCGGCAGCGGCAGUGGGACCCCGUCCCUCUCGGGCCCGCCGUGCCCGGAGCCCGGCUCGGGCUGCAGCCCCCCGGGACCCGGGAGCGCGGCCGAGGAAACCCCAUUUGGACAUCAGAGCGUCUAUUCAGUUCUUCCUGAGUCUUGAAUUGGGAGCUAACAAGACUUUCCAAGGCCUGAAAGGGAAAUUCAAGAAUUUUGAUUAAAAGAGCCCUUCUUGCAGUACCUAGUGAAAGAAGACAGACCAUUACACCAGGGCCAUGAUACUGAUGAUUGUAUGUAUGGACCUUUUCUUGUGAAAUUUAAACUCAGCCUUGUAUUAUACUGCCUAAGAGUUACCUCCUGAAAGCCUCCUUGUUGCUCAAAUUGGCCUCUCUCUAAGCCAAACUCAGCAUAAAAAUGCAGCCCCCCACCCCAGUGUGGACAUGACUCCUGGGGAUGAACCUCCCUGACACCAAGAGAUUAUUAACAAGCACCAACUAGCAAUGCAUCUGGAAAAAGAUCUUGACCAUAAGGGGAA
RNAcentral lists this long non-coding RNA (528 nucleotides) under Dasypus novemcinctus (nine-banded armadillo). RNAcentral describes it as "lncRNA (ENSDNOG00000051468.1)". Lineage: Eukaryota; Metazoa; Chordata; Mammalia; Cingulata; Dasypodidae. The record is from RNAcentral.